UACGUAGGGGGCUAGCGUUGUCCGGAUUUAUUGGGCGUAAAGAGCGUGUAGGCGGCCAGAUAGGUCUGCUGUGAAAACUCGAGGCUUAACCUCGAGAUGUCGGUGGAAACCAUCUGGCUAGAGUCCGGAAGAGGAGAGUGGAAUUCCUGGUGUAGCGGUGAAAUGCGCAGAUAUCAGGAGGAACACCCGUGGCGAAAGCGGCUCUCUGGGACGGUACUGACGCUGAGACGCGAAAGCGUGGGGAGCAAACAGG
This 253-nucleotide ribosomal RNA is filed under the name uncultured bacterium. RNAcentral describes it as "partial 16S ribosomal RNA". It matches the Rfam family "Bacterial small subunit ribosomal RNA", at positions 524 to 776 of the family's 1533-position model. The record is from RNAcentral.